AGAGUUUGAUCAUGGCUCAGAAUGAACGUUGGCGGCGUGGAUUAGGCAUGCAAGUCGAGCGAGAACCCCGCAAGGGGGGACAGCGGCGAAAGGGACAGUAACACGUAGAUUACCUACCCUCUGGUUCAGGAUAGCUGCGGGAAACUGCAGGUAAUACUGAAUAACAUCUCCGGAUCAAAGGUGUGAUUCCGCCGGAGGAUGGGUCUGCGUCCUAUUAGCUUGUUGGUAGGGUAACGGCCUACCAAGGCAAUGAUGGGUAGUGGGUGUGAGAGCACGACCCGCGUCACUGGGACUGAGACACUGCCCAGACACCUACGGGUGGCUGCAGUCGAGGAUCUUCGGCAAUGGGCGCAAGCCUGACCGAGCGACGCCGCGUGCGGGAUGAAGGCCUUCGGGUUGUAAACCGCUGUCAGAGGGGAUGAAAUGCUUAUGGGUUCUCCCAUAGGUUUGACAUAUCCUCAGAGGAAGUACGGGCUAAGUUCGUGCCAGCAGCCGCGGUAAGACGAACCGUACGAACGUUAUUCGGAAUCACUGGGCUUAAAGGGUGCGUAGGCUGCGCGGAAAGUUGGGUGUGAAAUCCCUCGGCUCAACCGAGGAACUGCGCCCAAAACUACCGUGCUCGAGGGAGACAGAGGUGAGCGGAACUUAGGGUGGAGCGGUGAAAUGCGUUGAUAUCCUAAGGAACACCCGUGGCGAAAGCGGCUCACUGGGUCUCUUCUGACGCUGAGGCACGAAAGCUAGGGUAGCGAACGGGAUUAGAUACCCCAGUAGUCC
Molecule: ribosomal RNA, 774 nt
Filed under: uncultured bacterium
Lineage: Bacteria
Description: bacterial SSU rRNA
Rfam family: Bacterial small subunit ribosomal RNA
Source: RNAcentral